CCUACGGGAGGCAGCAGUGGGGAAUAUUGCGCAAUGGGGGGAACCCUGACGCAGCAACGCCGCGUGAAGGAAGAAGGCCUUCGGGUCGUAAACUUUUGUCUUCUGGGAAGAAAGAUGACGGUACCAGAGGAGGAAGCCACGGCUAACUACGUGCUAGCAGCCGCGGUAAUACGUAGGUGGCGAGCGUUGUCCGGAAUCACUGGGUGUAAAGGGUGCGUAGGCGGUAGGGCAAGUCAGAUGUGAAAGCCCGGGGCUCAACCCCGGGAUUGCAUUUGAAACUGUCUUACUAGAGUGCAGGAGAGGAAAGCGGAAUUCCUAGCGUAGCGGUGAAAUGCGUAGAUAUUAGGAAGAACACCAGUGGCGAAGGCGGCUUUCUGGACUGUAACUGACGCUGAGGCACGAAAGCGUGGGGAGCGAACAGGAUUAGAUACCCGUGUAGUC
RNAcentral lists this ribosomal RNA (441 nucleotides) under uncultured bacterium. Its description in RNAcentral is "bacterial SSU rRNA". It matches the Rfam family "Bacterial small subunit ribosomal RNA", at positions 338 to 795 of the family's 1533-position model. The record is from RNAcentral.